UGGAAAGGAAAUCUGUCUUCAAUGACAAAAGGUUGUCUUUUAGGAUUUCAAUCGUCAGAGGGAAUGAGAAGACGGAAGAAUUAAAAAGGGCAGUGGAAUUAGAAGUAAACCAAAAUGAAAGGAAGGGAGAGGAAGAGAUGUUACAUAUUGUGGCAAUGUUAUUUCUAGCUAAUAUAAGAUUUACUUAUAUUACUUGCAUUAAAUCUCAGUUGUAUUCUUUAACUUUGAUGGUGUGUAAUGGGCGGAAUUUUUAUUUCUCUCUCGUAGGGACUGGAAAGGAAAUCAGUCUUCAAUGGCAAAGGGUUGUAUUUUAGGAUUUCAAUCGUCAGAGGGAAUGAGAAGACGGAAGAAUUGAAAAGGGCAGAGGAAUAAGAAGUAAACCAAAAUGAAAGGAAGGGAGAGGAAGAGAUGUUACAUAUUGUGGCAAUGUUAUUUCUAGGGACUGGAAAGGAAAUCAGUCUUCAAUGGCAAAGGGUUGUAUUUUAGGAUUUCAAUCGUCAGAGGGAAUGAGAAGACGGAAGAAUUGAAAAGGGCAGAGGAAUAAGAAGUAAACCAAAAUGAAAGGAAGGGAGAGGAAGAGAUGUUACAUAUUGUGGCAAUGUUAUUUCUAGGGACUGGAAAGGAAAUCAGUCUUCAAUGGCAAAGGGUUGUAUUUUAGGAUUUCAAUCGUCAGAGGGAAUGAGAAGACGGAAGAAUUGAAAAGGGCAGAGGAAUAAGAAGUAAACCAAAAUGAAAGGAAGGGAGAGGAAGAGAUGUUACAUAUUGUGGCAAUGUUAUUUCUAGGGACUGGAAAGGAAAUCAGUCUUCAAUGGCAAAGGGUUGUAUUUUAGGAUUUCAAUCGUCAGAGGGAAUGAGAAGACGGAAGAAUUGAAAAGGGCAGAGGAAUAAGAAGUAAACCAAAAUGAAAGGAAGGGAGAGGAAGAGAUGUUACAUAUUGUGGCAAUGUUAUUUCUAGGGACUGGAAAGGAAAUCAAUCUUCAAUGACAAAGGGUUGUCGUUUAGGAUUUCAAUCGUCAGAGGGAAUGAGAAGACGGAAGAUUUAAAAAGGGCAAAGGCAAAGGGC
Parasteatoda tepidariorum (common house spider) is the source of this 1063-nucleotide long non-coding RNA. NCBI's taxonomy places the organism in Eukaryota, Metazoa, Arthropoda, Arachnida, Araneae, Theridiidae. The record is from RefSeq and is a predicted model, not a curated record.